AUUUGAGUUUCAGAGAAACAAUGAACAGUAUUUUAGUGUAAGUAUGUUCCAUGCAGUAUUUGAGACAUACUUAUACUUAAGCUAUUGUUUAUCUGAAAUUCAAAAGUACCU
RNAcentral lists this microRNA precursor (111 nucleotides) under Vicugna pacos (alpaca). RNAcentral's name for it is "miRNA (ENSVPAG00000017525.1)". The record is from RNAcentral. Lineage: Eukaryota; Metazoa; Chordata; Mammalia; Artiodactyla; Camelidae.